Molecule: ribosomal RNA, 541 nt
Filed under: uncultured bacterium
Lineage: Bacteria
Description: bacterial SSU rRNA
Rfam family: Bacterial small subunit ribosomal RNA
Source: RNAcentral
UGGGGAAUCUUCGGCAAUGGACGGAAGUCUGACCGAGCAACGCCGCGUGAGUGAAGAAGGUUUUCGGAUCGUAAAGCUCUGUUGUAAGAGAAGAACGAGUGUGAGAGUGGAAAGUUCACACUGUGACGGUAUCUUACCAGAAAGGGACGGCUAACUACGUGCCAGCAGCCGCGGUAAUACGUAGGUCCCGAGCGUUGUCCGGAUUUAUUGGGCGUAAAGCGAGCGCAGGCGGUUAGAUAAGUCUGAAGUUAAAGGCUGUGGCUUAACCAUAGUACGCUUUGGAAACUGUUUAACUUGAGUGCAAGAGGGGAGAGUGGAAUUCCAUGUGUAGCGGUGAAAUGCGUAGAUAUAUGGAGGAACACCGGUGGCGAAAGCGGCUCUCUGGCUUGUAACUGACGCUGAGGCUCGAAAGCGUGGGGAGCAAACAGGAUUAGAUACCCUGGUAGUCCACGCUGUAAACGAUGAUCAUUAGUCGGUGGAAAACUACUGACGCAGCUAACGCAUUAAAUGAUCCGCCUGAGUAGUAUNACUCGCAAGAGUG